RNAcentral lists this long non-coding RNA (3363 nucleotides) under Nicotiana tabacum (common tobacco). RNAcentral's name for it is "long non-coding RNA (NTAB_LNC004375)". The record is from RNAcentral. Lineage: Eukaryota; Viridiplantae; Streptophyta; Magnoliopsida; Solanales; Solanaceae.
CAAAGACUUUAUGUGUAUCCACAUCGAAACUGAUCCAUGUUAUCAACUCUUUGAUCAACGAAAUCUGCGAACAAAUUGAAUGAAAACUUUGUGAUGAUGUUUUUCUCAAAAACUUCAACUCAAAAUUAAAAAAAAAACAAGAGAACAAUUUUCUUGUUAACAAUAUUUUCUCUAUUGAUUGUAUUACACUCUCACUUUUACAAAGUAAUUUUUUCUCAAGAAUUAAUACGACAAUUUUUCUUCUCACCCUUAUAUUGCAUCACUUAUAAACUCUUUUCCUAUUUGGUUGAGGUUGAGGUAAUGAUUUAUUUGAGGUGUAAGUUUAAUUCCAAAAUUAAACUUUACCAUAAUAUUUUAUUGGAAAAUAUCAAAUUUCCUCCUAAAGGGAUUAAUGACGUGACCAUCAUUUUUAAUCCAAUUCAAACUUGGAUUCUAAACUUAUAAAUAUUUUCCGAUUAUAAAAUUCAAAUCCCAUCUAAAUGGGUUGAAUUUGUUGAACAUCCUUUAUGGACUUUGACGUAAAAAUCCAAUUCUAAAUUGGAUUUCAUUCAUAAGUCUUUCAUUAAUAUUUUAUAUACAUACCUGUCACGACCCAAAACCAACCAUCAUGAUGGCGCCUAUCGUAGAACUAGGUAAGCCAACUACUCAACCAGUUCAACCAAAUAAAAACUUUAAAAAUUAAACGGAAGUAGUUAAUAUUUAUGAAAACCCCUUUAAAACUGAAAUAAAACCACUACGCAAUACAAAUCUCUCCCGAAAAUUGGGGUAUCACCGAGUACAUGAGCAUCUAUACCAGGAUACAGCCUACUACAAUGUCUGAGGAAUAAGAAUUGAAAUACAAACAAAGAUAAUGAAGGAGGGUCAAGGCCUGCGAACGCCAUGCAGCUACCUCGAUAGUAUCCGAGAUCUCGACUCCUCACUCAGCAACCGCCGUAACCGGAAGCACCUGGAUCUGCACACUGAAAGUAGUGACGAAUUCAACCGGCACAGUUCAAUACAGAAAAUAACAGUGCAGAAAUGUAGACAUACUUUCAAGUUCGAUAGAUAUAUCAAAACAGUAAAAAUGGAUCAAAUCUGAAUGAUAUGAAGAAUAUAACUCAUCUACUUCUACAUGCCAAUGCACAUGUUGUAUGUGAUGCACCAUGCUGACAGCCUCAUGCGCUCACACUCUAAAAUGAUCAAUCCAUCGGUACUGUAUAUGGCCCAUACGACCCAGGGAAGAUCCAUCCCGAAAUAUAUACAUCACUGACUAUCCGUCACCCAGUACCAAGUAGGGUCAAUCCAGCCCGUGGAGAAGAUCCAUCUUCAGGUAUAUAAUGCUUCGGAUAAGAUCCAUGUCCAGGAAAGAUCCAUCCCUUAAUAUAAUCAACCGCGGUCAUUGGGGGUGUGUACAGACUCCGGAGGGGCUCCUUCAGUCUAAGCGCUAUCAUAAACCAGUAUAACCGCUACGGCGUGCAGCCCGAUCCCGUAAAUGCCACUCAUAAUCAGGCUUUCGGCCUCACUCAAUCAUCAAUCUCUCCAGUCUCUCUCUCACGGGCUCACAGUGUCAUAAUACUAGCCCGAAAAUAAUGAUAUGUGAUAUGAUGUAUCAAUAAAUAACAACAAAGACUUAGAUAUGAUAUGAAAUAAAUGAAUAUAACUGAGUACGAAAUAUCAAUGCAAUUAGUAAGACCACGGCAAGAAACGACCACUAUGGGUCCCAGCAGUACCGGCAUAAAGCCUAAACAUGAUAUCUAGUAUGAGUGACAACUCAAUUACUUUAUCACAUGAUGAAAAAACGGAUAUCAACAAUAUAGAACCACUAGACAGUGUCAUGGAAUCGACCAGGUCACAAUUCUCAUGGUGCACGCCCGCACGCCCGUUACUUCGCAUGUGCGUCACCUUAAUACCAAUCACAUAACACAUAAGUUUGGGGUUUCGAACCCUCAGAACCAAGUAUAGAAGUUUUACUUACCUCAAUCCGAGAAAAUCCCUACUCCAAUACGCCUUUAACUCGCAAAUCGGCCUCCAAAUGAUCCGAAUCUAGCCACAAACAGUACAAUACAAUCAAUACGGGCUAAAGGAAUCAAUUCUACAAGAAAUUACAUAGUUAUAACUCAAAAAUCCGAAAUCGGCUCAAACCCGGCCCCCGGGCCCAUGCUUAGGAAUCCAACAAAACUCACAAAAUCCAAAAGUCCAUCCAAUCAUGAGUCUAGUCAUACCAAAUUCUUCAAAAUCUGACACCAAUUGAUCAUUCAAAUCCCCAAAAUCAACUCUCCAAAUCCCUAGCCUCAAACCCCCAAAUUACACCAUACCAACUAAGUGAAAAAUCAGUGGGAAAACAUAAUUAUUGAAGAAAGAUGAACACAAGGAACUUACCUCAAGAAUCCCAUUGAAAAUCCUCUAAAUAAACCUCCAAAAUCUGAGCUCAAAAUGUAAGAAAAUGAAGAAAAUCGCGGACCCAUAUGUUUAUACGUUCUGCCCAGUCAAACUGCACCUGUGGUCCCAAAUUCUGCUUCUGCGGUCCCGCCCUUGAGGUGAAAUCUCCGCAUUUGCGGAAUUCACUUACCCAGCAUGACUUUGCUUUUGCGGACACGCUCCUACGAAGGACCAUCCACUUCUGCGAAGCUGCCUCACCAAGCUCCCACGCACUUCUGUGAUCCAACACACGCAUCUGCGGACACGUAGGUGCGGAAAGGACCUCGCACCUGUGACCUCUCCCCUUCUUGACCGCUUCUGCGGCCGCUUCCUCUCUUCUGCGAGCUCGUAUCUGUGGUUCUCAAUCCGCAAGCGCGUUUACACCAGCAGUUGUAAAUCUUCAGCAAUUCUUCAAUUUCAAAACUUGGUCCGUUAACCACCUGAAAUCAACCCGAGGCCCCCCGGGAUCUCAACUAAACAUACCAACAAGUAUUAAAAUGUCAUACGAACUUAUCCGAGCCUUUAAAUCAACUCAAACAACAUCAAAAACACGAAUCGCACCCCAAUUCAAGCCUAAUGAACUUUGAAAUUUUAAAAUUCUACAAACGACGCUGAAACCUAUCAAAUCACGUCUGAUUAACCUCAAACUUUGCACACCAGUCACAAAUGACACCACGAACCUACUCCCACUUCCGUAAAUCUAAUCCGACCCCGAUAUCAAAAAGUCCACCCCCAGUCAAACUUUCCAAAAUUUUAUUUUUUGCCAUUUCAAGCCUUAUUCUACUACGGACCUCCAAAUCACAAUCCGGACACACUCCUAAGUCUAAAAUCACCUAACGGAGCUAACAGAACCAUCAAAAUUCAAAUUCGAGGUCAUUUACACAUAAUUCAAUAUCCGGUCAACUUUUCCAACUUAAGCUUUUCAUUAUGAGACUAAAUGUCUCAAUUCACUCCGAAAUCUCNNNN